UGGGGAAUAUUGCACAAUGGGGGAAACCCUGAUGCAGCAACGCCGCGUGAGGGAAGAAGGUUUUCGGAUUGUAAACCUCUGUCUUCGGUGACGAUAAUGACGGUAGCCGCGGAGGAAGCUCCGGCUAACUACGUGCCAGCAGCCGCGGUAAUACGUAGGGAGCGAGCGUUGUCCGGAAUUACUGGGGGUAAAGGGUGCGUAGGCGGGAUUACAAGUCAGGCGUGAAAUCCAUCGGCUCAACCGGUGAACUGCGCUUGAAACUGUAGUUCUUGAGUGAAGUAGAGGCAGGCGGAAUUCCGAGUGUAGCGGUGAAAUGCGUAGAUAUUCGGAGGAACACCAGUGGCGAAGGCGGCCUGCUGGGCUUUUACUGACGCUGAAGCACGAAAGCAUGGGGAGCAAACAGG
RNAcentral lists this ribosomal RNA (404 nucleotides) under uncultured prokaryote. RNAcentral describes it as "bacterial SSU rRNA". It matches the Rfam family "Bacterial small subunit ribosomal RNA", at positions 355 to 776 of the family's 1533-position model. RNAcentral also lists the same sequence under 1 other name. The record is from RNAcentral.